This 1978-nucleotide long non-coding RNA is filed under the name Gossypium barbadense (sea-island cotton). RNAcentral's name for it is "long non-coding RNA (GBAR_LNC019952)". Lineage: Eukaryota; Viridiplantae; Streptophyta; Magnoliopsida; Malvales; Malvaceae. The record is from RNAcentral.
CAAAACAAGGGUGGCAUUUAAUUUGCUAUCCGGAUUCGUUAUUAGAAAAAUCAUUAAAAGCCAAGUAUUAUCCCAAUUCAUGUUUCAUGCAAGCUAGAUUGGGGACCGUACCAUCUUAUACAUGGAGAAGUGUAUGGUUGACAAGAGGACUCCUUGAAAAAGGAAUAUGCUGGCAAAUUGGGUUAGGAAAGCAAGUCCAAAUUUGGGAUAAGGCGUGGAUCCCGGGCACUGAUGAAUACAAAUUAUAGCAUCCAAAUAUUAAUCAGCGUUUUUUACAUGUAUCAGACCUAAUAGAACAAAACACAAACCAAUGGAAGGAAGAGCUAAUAUGAGGUACCUUUCACACUGAAGAUGCCGAAAGGAUCCUAUGCAUUCCCCUUUCUUUGGAGCAAGAAAUGGACAGAAUGGUUUGGCGCGGUGAAACAUCAGGGGUGUAUACAAUGUGGAGUGGUUACAAAAAUUUAAUGCAAAUCGACAGCAAAAUAAACAUACAAGCAGACCAUAAUUAUUACAAACCAAUGUACAAAAAGCUAUGGACGAUAGACUUGCCCUCAAAAACAAAAAUUCUGGUAUGGAAAACCCUAAAUAAUUUUUGACCUACUUUUUCUAACCUAUCUCAGCGAAGACUAGGGAAUGUUGCAAAUUGCUCGAGAUGCGUCAACAGUCUCGAAACCACAGUUCAUGUGUUCAAGGGCUGCCCUUUUGCUGAUGUAGUGUGGUCCAGGCUGGGUAUCAAGUGGACCUUGGAAUAAGGCCAAUUAUAAUAUAAGGACUGGAUGAAGGUGCUGUUUGAAAAAGUAUCAAGCCAAUAGAUAAAAACAAUCGUGGGUACCAUUUGGGGUUUAUGGAUGGCUAGGAAUAAAUUGCUACAUGAGAAUAAGGUACAAAUAGAAGCAAGCUUGAUCCAGUUUAUCACAGAUUAUAUUCAGGAAAUAGAAGGGGUAAAAGAGAAACUACCUGUUAGCUCAGUAUUCAACGAAUAUUGGAAGCCCUCGAGAAUCACAAAUGUUAAAAUAAAUUUCGAUACUGCAUUUGAUAAGCAAAAUAAGAGAUCAUGCACUGGAGUCGUCAUUCGAGACACUACUAGUAAUGUUUUAAAAUCAAUAACCUACAAAAACGAGCACAUACCGAUAGCAUUUGCAGUUGAGGCACUCACAUGCGUCCAGGCGGUUAGAUUCAAGGCAAAAUUAGGAUUUCUUCCAGUUGAAGUUGAAAGCGACGCGUUAACUAUUUUUAAAAAAAAAGUACAAAGUCAGGAAAAUGACAGAUUCGAGAUAAGAGACUAUAUCUCAGAUGCAUAAAGAUUAAGAAGCAACUUUGUUACUUGUAGGUUUAAACUUGCAAGGAGACAAACAAACACAGUAGCUCAUAUCCUAGCAACAGAAGGGUUAAAGGAAAGGGGAAAUACUCAUCUGACUCCUGGCCUUUCCAGUGCAGUUGCUAGGACCGUCGCGGCUGACAAAAAUGGCGAAGUAGUAGGAAGCGGAGGGCUCAUGACAUAAAACCAUGAAACACGGAAGUAUUUUUGAAGGAAAGGCGACAUAGAUUUGAAAAGAGAAUGUUAGAUUCUUUGUUUUCUCAGAUUAAUAAUUAAGGAGAUAAAGGAAUGGUACCUCAUAGUCACUGGUGCUUAGAGAUCUAGCAACCUAAAAAGCGAGUUAAUUCGCCAUUGAAGAGGUACCUUUCAUCUGAUGCAUGUAGGAGGUGGUGGCCAUCCUUCGGAGCAUUGAAAAGACGAAAUGAGUGAAGAUGGUGAGAGAUGUGCAGAAAUGGGAACUGGCUGUGGGGUAGAGGUUUUAAGGUUUCUUCUUUUUUAGUUUGUUUUUAGGAUGUGGGCUAAUGUAGGCUUAGGUUUAGGAUGGGUUAGGAUUUUGGGCUUUAUUUUUUUUUGUAGGGUAUUCCCUUUUAAAUUUGAUGUUCUUCUUUUGGUUAAUUUACCUAAAUAAUUAAAAUAAAUAAAUACUGAAAUAGGUUGUCG